CAGCAGCAGCCGCGGUAAUACGUAGGGUGCGAGCGUUAAUCGGAAUUACUGGGCGUAAAGCGUGCGCAGGCGGUUAUAUAAGACAGAUGUGAAAUCCCCGGGCUCAACCUGGGACCUGCAUUUGUGACUGUAUAGCUAGAGUACGGUAGAGGGGGAUGGAAUUCCGCGUGUAGCAGUGAAAUGCGUAGAUAUGCGGAGGAACACCGAUGGCGAAGGCAAUCCCCUGGACCUGUACUGACGCUCAUGCGCGAAAGCGUGGGGAGCAAACAGGAUUAGAUACCCGAGUAGUCCCUGUCUCUUAUAC
This 304-nucleotide ribosomal RNA is filed under the name uncultured bacterium. RNAcentral's name for it is "partial 16S ribosomal RNA". It matches the Rfam family "Bacterial small subunit ribosomal RNA", at positions 506 to 807 of the family's 1533-position model. The record is from RNAcentral.